UCCGAGAAUCCCAAAAGGUGCACAUUUAAACACACACGCGAAGCAUCCAAGCACAUGGACCAACUCUUCUCUCACCUUUCCACUGAUUUCCCCAACGCCGGCUUCUUAAGGGUCGAGGCCGAAUAGCAACCUGAGGUUUUCGAAGCUUACUCCGUCUCCGCUGUUCCUUUCUUUGCCUUCUGCAAGCACGCUUGAAUCUCUGUAUUCUGAAAGUUUGUCCCUGUGGAGAGGUGCAGAAAAUUUCACUACUUGCUACUGCUUGCUACGUAUUCAAUUAGUUUAUAUAUCUUUGUUAAUGUUAAAUUUUAUGUCAUUUUUUAUUGCCACCUUGUCAUUCUUUUGUUGGUGAGGCACUCUGAUGCUUUAGCAUCCAUCAAGAAAUACAACAGUAUGAGUGAUGGAAAGCUAUUGCAAAUUGAGUUUGUUGGAACAUAUGCAUGUUCAGCUACUCCGGUUGUCACGCCUUUGUCAAACUAACUUAAUGGGUAGACCAAAUGAUGUCCAUUUAAGGUGUGAAAUUCUUAUUCUUGA
Long non-coding RNA from Glycine soja, 531 nucleotides. RefSeq lists it as uncharacterized. Lineage: Eukaryota; Viridiplantae; Streptophyta; Magnoliopsida; Fabales; Fabaceae. The record is from RefSeq and is a predicted model, not a curated record. The transcript is spliced from 3 exons.